RNAcentral lists this transfer RNA (73 nucleotides) under Pongo abelii (Sumatran orangutan). RNAcentral's name for it is "tRNA-Lys (TTT) (tRNA-Lys-TTT-8-1)". It matches the Rfam family "tRNA". From Rfam's summary of the family: Transfer RNA (tRNA) molecules are approximately 80 nucleotides in length. Their secondary structure includes four short double-helical elements and three loops (D, anti-codon, and T loops). The record is from Rfam by way of RNAcentral. Lineage: Eukaryota; Metazoa; Chordata; Mammalia; Primates; Hominidae.
GCCCGGAGAGCUCAGUUGGUAGAGCAUCAGACUUUUAAUCUGAGGGUCCAGGGUUCAAGUCCUUGUUCGGAUG